UGCAAGUCGAACGAGAGAGAAGGAGCUUGCUUUUCUGAUCUAGUGGCGGACGGGUGAGUAACACGUGAGCAAUCUGCCUUUCAGAGGGGGAUACCGAUUGGAAACGAUCGUUAAUACCGCAUAACAUAAUUGAACCGCAUGAUUUGAUUAUCAAAGAUUUAUCGCUGAAAGAUGAGCUCGCGUCUGAUUAGCUAGUUGGUAAGGUAACGGCUUACCAAGGCGACGAUCANUAGCCGGACUGAGAGGUUGAUCGGCCNCNUUGGGACUGAUACACNGCCCANACUCCUACGGGAGGCAGCAGUGGGGAAUNUUGCUCAAUGGA
RNAcentral lists this ribosomal RNA (322 nucleotides) under Ruminococcus bicirculans (ex Wegman et al. 2014). RNAcentral describes it as "bacterial SSU rRNA". It matches the Rfam family "Bacterial small subunit ribosomal RNA", at positions 56 to 375 of the family's 1533-position model. The record is from RNAcentral. Lineage: Bacteria; Bacillati; Bacillota; Clostridia; Eubacteriales; Oscillospiraceae.